UGAGGAUUGGGUAAGUGUACUGGGGAGGUCUUUUGAAAGGGCAUGUAUUUUGGAAAUAAAGAUUGGUUCUUUUUCGUCUAGUAGUGCAAUUUCAGACUCUAGUACAGAUGUUAAAUUGCAGGGUAAAGAUGGAGAAACAUUAACAGACCUUUCUGGGAGUUCAGGGAAGAUGCAUAGUGAUGAUGCUAGUAAUGAUGUAAAUUUGGGUGAUUCUUUCUGUACUCUUGUCUCAGCAUUGAGGAGUUGGUCCGGUUUUGAUGUUGAAGAAGCUGAAUUGGUCAAUUUUGAUACAACAGCACUAGUUGCUAUAGUGUCUGGGAUUAGUAAUGGUAGUAUCGAUCGAAUUCUG
RNAcentral lists this unclassified non-coding RNA (349 nucleotides) under Hevea brasiliensis (rubber tree). Lineage: Eukaryota; Viridiplantae; Streptophyta; Magnoliopsida; Malpighiales; Euphorbiaceae. The record is from RNAcentral.